Molecule: ribosomal RNA, 572 nt
Filed under: bacterium het-w-4
Lineage: Bacteria
Description: bacterial SSU rRNA
Rfam family: Bacterial small subunit ribosomal RNA
Source: RNAcentral
CUACACAUGCAGUCGAACGAUGACGGUGGUGCUUGCAUCACCUGAUUAGUGGCGAACGGGUGAGUAACACGUGAGUAACCUGCCCUUCACUUCGGGAUAACCUCGGGAAAUCGUGGCUAAUACCGGAUAUGAGCUCCUUCCGCAUGGCGGGGGUUGGAAAGAUUUAUCGGUGAAGGAUGGACUCGCGGCCUAUCAGUUUGUUGGUGAGGUAAUGGCUCACCAAGGCGAUGACGGGUAGCCGGCCUGAGAGGGCGACCGGCCACACUGGGACUGAGACACGGCCCAGACUCCUACGGGAGGCAGCAGUGGGGAAUAUUGCACAAUGGGCGAAAGCCUGAUGCAGCGACGCCGCGUGGGGGAUGACGGCCUUCGGGUUGUAAACCCCUUUCAGUAGGGAAGAAGCGAAAGUGACGGUACCUGCAGAAGAAGCGCCGGCUAACUACGUGCCAGCCGCCGCGGUAAUACGUAGGGCGCAAGCGUUGUCCGGAAUUAUUGGGCGUAAAGAGCUCGUAGGUGGCUUGUCGCGUCUGCGGUGAAAACCCGAGGCUCAACCUCGGGCGUGCGGUGGGUAC